GCGCCGGUGGUGUAAGGCGAACAUCGCUGCCCGGAAAGCAGAAGAUGCGGGUUCGAGUACCGCCUGGCGCA
Heligmosomoides polygyrus is the source of this 71-nucleotide non-coding RNA. The record is from Rfam. NCBI's taxonomy places the organism in Eukaryota, Metazoa, Nematoda, Chromadorea, Rhabditida, Heligmosomidae.